Molecule: ribosomal RNA, 449 nt
Filed under: uncultured bacterium
Lineage: Bacteria
Description: partial 16S ribosomal RNA
Rfam family: Bacterial small subunit ribosomal RNA
Source: RNAcentral
GUCGAGAAUCUUUCACAAUGGGGGCAACCCUGAUGGAGCGACGCCGCGUGGAGGAUAAGGUCUUCGGAUUGUAAACUCCUGUCAUGCGUGAACAAGGUUGCUUGGUUAAUACCUGGGCAAAUUGAUGGUAACGCAAGAGGAAGAGACGGCUAACUCUGUGCCAGCAGCCGCGGUAAUACAGAGGUCUCACGCGUUGUUCGGAAUCACUGGGCGUAAAGGGUGCGUAGGUGGCGUGGUAAGUCAGAUGUGAAAGCCCGGGACUCAUCCUCGAAACCGCAUCCGAUACUGCCAUGCUAGAGUACUGGAGAGGUGACUAGAAUUCUCGGUGUAGCAGUGAAAUGCUUAGAUAUCGAGAGGAAUACCAAAGGCGUAGGCAGGUCACGGGACAGUUACUGACACUGAGGCACGAAGGCCAGGGGAGCGAACGGGAUUAGAUACCCUAGUAGUCC